GUCCCUAAAACACAAACUCACUCUAGGGUUCCUAAUCACAUUUCUCCUAGCCGCCUCUCUCCCAUUUCCCCUCUUGGACAAUAACCCAAACCUCCAUCACCAUUAGCAGUGUUUGUUACUCCAUUUUAGUGCAAGCUUUGUACAUAUUUUCAGUCGUUCCCUAGACCUCCUCUUUCUUCUAUUUUCGUGAAUGAUGGCAUAUCAAAAUCAAGAGGAAAUCAAUCCCAAAUCUCACUGUUUCUAGCUAUUCUUGGACGAAUCAAAUAUCAACAACUUUAAUCAAAAUCUCAAACAUUCAAAAUUUCAAAAUUGUUUGACCAUGCUCAAAUCUGAAAGGAAAUCCCGUCAAAAAAUUGAAGCCCUAGACUUUUCUUCCGAUAAAUACACCUAAAACCUUCAGCCGAAGGGACAUUCUGAAAGGUCGAAAAAAUCAUAUUUAUACUUUUAAUUUUUGUACUCUCUCUCUUUCUCUCAAGCUUCAAUUAAAAAUCCAAAAGAGUAGAUCUGAAACCUCAAAGUCCUUUGUUCACUGCCCCCCACAAGUUUCCGCAGGUUGUUAAGAAUCAACUCAUCUCUUCUGAUUCCUAUCUCCUUAUUUCUUUUGUUAUGUACACCUUGGGAGCAAAUUGGAGCCUUCAUAAGAGACUCUUUAUCACCGCUAGGAGUCCUGCUCUAAGACUCGACAAUGCCUUGAUAUUAUGUGGAGUCAACAUCGUUUCACAUUCUCGUGCUACCUGAGACCGCCACAAGAAAAUUAUCCCUUUAGGAUGCUGGUGAAAGAGUCGGACAAUUGCUCUUUUGAAUUUUCAUAUUUCUUGUUUCCCAUUAUUUGUUUUUCAUGAUUUUUCCCUCUAAAUAUAUGGUCGUGUUGGGACCUUAUUUGAUAUGUGAUACUUUAUAAUUGGCAUACUUUUUAUCACAUAGGAAUAUAGCACCAAAUUAUGAAAA
Long non-coding RNA from Nicotiana tabacum (common tobacco), 948 nucleotides. RefSeq lists it as uncharacterized. NCBI's taxonomy places the organism in Eukaryota, Viridiplantae, Streptophyta, Magnoliopsida, Solanales, Solanaceae. The record is from RefSeq and is a predicted model, not a curated record.